Molecule: ribosomal RNA, 489 nt
Filed under: uncultured bacterium
Lineage: Bacteria
Description: bacterial SSU rRNA
Rfam family: Bacterial small subunit ribosomal RNA
Source: RNAcentral
ACGAGUUUGAUCCUGGCUCAGGAUGAACGCUAGCGGCAGGCUUAAUACAUGCAAGUCAAGGGGGUAGCAAUACAACCGGCGCACGGGUGAGUAACGCGUACACAACAUACCAUAUACUGGGGUAUAGCUUUGGGAAACUGAAGGUAAUCCCCCAUAACAUUGCGAGAGGGCAUCUGAUUGCAAUUAAAGUUUCGACGGUAUAUGAUUGAUGUGCGUUUGAUUAGCUUGUUGGUAGGGUAACGGCCUACCAAGGCGACGAUCAAUAGCUGGCGUGAGAGCGCGACCAGCCACACUGGAACUGAGACACGGUCCAGACUCCUACGGGAGGCAGCAGUAGGGAAUAUUGGACAAUGGGCGAAAGCCUGAUCCAGCCAUGCCGCGUGAUAGAUGAAGGCCCUCUGGGUUGUAAAUAUCUUUUAUCUGGGAAGAAACAAUCUUAUUCUUAAGAUCUUGACGGUACCAGAGGAAUAAGCACCGGCUAACUCCGUG